This is a long non-coding RNA of Dromaius novaehollandiae (emu), 1627 nucleotides long. NCBI's taxonomy places the organism in Eukaryota, Metazoa, Chordata, Aves, Casuariiformes, Dromaiidae. The record is from Ensembl.
UUGCGGCAGGCGAGCUCCCAGAAACCGGGCACGCCUCUCGCCCUGCCAGGCUGUCCUGGCACCGCCUCGAAACCAGCUCGUUGCGGCCGGAGUCGGGCACGGAGCAGCCCGGMGAGCCUCCCGGCCCUGGCCACGCGCGGGACCCCGCUGUCGCUUAGGAGAAGACAAACAGCCCAAACCACGCCGGAUCGGCAAGUGACCCCCCUCUUGCCAUUCCUCGUGUGCUGGUACCACCAGUCUUCGGCAGAAAGCUGCCAGUUCGUUUCGAGCAUCGCUGAUGCAGAGGGCUGGUUUAGAAAGGUGGUGAUACAAAAGGCACUAUCAAAAGUCUCUGAUGUUUCUUGCAGCUGGAAACUAAAAAAAAAAAAGAAGGUGGUACACAUCCAUAGUCCUGUUCUAGAGGGAGCAGGAGCAAGAGGAGCGAGACCAAGGAAGAUCAUAUCUGAUACCAGUUACGUGAUCAAACAGGGCUGUGGAUGUUAUCUGCCGCGUGUGUGCUGCACUGAAAGGCUCCUCGUUCAUCUUCUGCCUCCUUCUCCCCAACUCUGUUGCUUGUGUCCACACAAGUGUCUCCAGUGCUUUUUGUCUUCUCUUGGAAAAACAAGCUUUCCAUCCUCCCUUUCGUAAACCAAGAUGCCUAGAUCUAACCCUUGACUAAGUGCUGCCAGUCACAGCUUGGCAGCUUCUGUAGCAAGGCUGCAAGGAUGGAGAAUGAAGAAGACAUGAAAGUACGUGUGUGUGUGUGUGUGUGUGUGUGUGUGUUAGGUAUUGUAUGCUGAGAGCUCAGAUACCCUGGUCUGAGAUAACCAGAAAAAGAAAGAAAAAACCUCCCUCCCUCCUCCCAAGAUCAGCAGAAAAGACAAAGGUAGAUGUUUCACAGGUUGGUAUGACUCAUAGCACCAUGCCUGAAGACUCAGGGUGAAGUGGCCCAGGUGGCCUUUGGUCACAGCUGUUCGACCCCAUGUCUUGGACCUCUGUAAUAAGUAGUCAAGGACAGAUAGCAAAGAAGGCAGAGAAGAACCUAACUCAUUCCAUCCUUAAGCAAAACAUCUGCCUUGCCRCUGUCAGAGGUAAUCAAGUGUUUACUUCUGCACAUUAAGAAAAAUUUAAWGAAAAAGUCCUCAUGGGGAGGGCUGUCAGCUCCCCAAGGAGGUUAUUAGGCUGAACUUAGAGGGUUUAUGGGAAAAAGUGUUUUAGCAGUCCCCAGAGCAUCAUACUGGCCCUGGUGGUGUUCCAGUUAUUUUAUCUGACUGUCUUUACAGGUAUUCCGGGUAACUUACCUGCGCAGCCAGCCUCCAAAUUGCUCUUUUGAACACAAUUGCUGUUAUUUGUGAAAGCACCGCUCCCAAAAGCAAUAUUUCAUCAUUACUGUAAAACAUCAUCCCUGCAAUUAUCGGAGAGAGCAUCUGUGGGAAUCUUAUGGGAAACAUGGUGAYGCCUGAAGCGAGCCCCAGCCUGGUGCUCGGUGCCCGUGGUGCCUGGCAGGGCUGUGCCAGCGUCCCACCCCGCGCUGGGGGACCGAGACUUUGCCUCCGGACCGUGCUGUGGGCCRUCACUGGGUUGGCUUGAAUGAUGAGUCUGGCCAAUUAAAAACAGCACUUUUGGAAGAGAGUGCUGCUUUAUUUCC